Molecule: ribosomal RNA, 417 nt
Filed under: uncultured Gammaproteobacteria bacterium
Lineage: Bacteria; Pseudomonadati; Pseudomonadota; Gammaproteobacteria
Description: bacterial SSU rRNA
Rfam family: Bacterial small subunit ribosomal RNA
Source: RNAcentral
AAUGGGCGAAAGCCUGACCCAGCGAUGCCGCGUGUGUGAAGAAGGCCCUAGGGUUGUAAAGCACUUUCAGUCGUGAAGAAAAGCAUUGGGUUAAUACCCCGACGUGUUGACGUUAACGACAGAAGAAGUACCGGCUAACUCCGUGCCAGCAGCCGCGGUUAUACGGAGGGGGUUAGCGUUGUUCGGAAUUACUGGGCGUAAAGCGCGCGUAGGCGGAUUAGUCAGUUAGAGGUGAAAUCCCGGGGCUCAACCCCGGAACUGCCUUUAAUACUGCUAGUCUUGAGUUCGAGAGAGGUGAGUGGAAUUCCGAGUGUAGAGGUGAAAUUCGUAGAUAUUCGGAGGAACACCAGUGGCGAAGGCGGCUCACUGGCUCGAUACUGACGCUGAGGUGCGAAAGUGUGGGGAGCAAACAGGAUU